Molecule: unclassified non-coding RNA, 520 nt
Filed under: uncultured Diversispora
Lineage: Eukaryota; Fungi; Glomeromycota; Glomeromycetes; Diversisporales; Diversisporaceae
Description: SSU rRNA
Rfam family: Eukaryotic small subunit ribosomal RNA
Source: RNAcentral
AGCAGCCGCGGUAAUUCCAGCUCCAAUAGCGUAUAUUAAAGUUGUUGCAGUUAAAAGCUCGUAGUUGAACUUCGGGGUUUACCCAUUGGUCAGGCUUAAUUGUCUGUACUGGUGAGAUAAAUCUCUACCUUCUGAGGAACUUUCAUGCCAUUUAUUUGGUGUGAUUGGAAAUCGGGACUAUUACUUUGAAAAAUUGAGUGUUUAAAGCAGGCUAACGUCUGAAUAUAUUAGCAUGGAAUAAUGAAAUAGGACGGCUUGGUUCUAUUUCGUUGGUUUCUAGGAUCACCGUAAUGAUUAAUAGGGAUAGUUGGGGGCAUUAGUAUUCAAUUGUCAGAGGUGAAAUUCUUGGAUUUAUUGAAGACUAACUACUGCGAAAGCAUUUGCCAAGGAUGUUUUCAUUAAUCAAGAACGAAAGUUAGGGAUCGAAGACGAUCAGAUACCGUCGUAGUCUUAACCAUAAACUAUGCCGACUAGGGAUCGGACGAAGUUAAUUUUAUAAUGACGCGUUCGGCACCUUACG